GACGAACGCUGGCGGCGUGCCUAAUACAUGCAAGUUGAGCGCUGAAGGUUGGUACUUGUACCAACUGGAUGAGCAGCGAACGGGUGAGUAACGCGUGGGGAAUCUGCCUUUGAGCGGGGGACAACAUUUGGAAACGAAUGCUAAUACCGCAUAAAAACUUUAAACACAAGUUUUAAGUUUGAAAGAUGCAAUUGCAUCACUCAAAGAUGAUCCCGCGUUGUAUUAGCUAGUUGGUGAGGUAAAGGCUCACCAAGGCGAAGAUACAUAGCCGACCUGGGAGGGUGAUCGGCCAAAUUGGGACUGAGACACGGCCCAAACUCCUACGGGAGGCAGCAGUAGGGAAUCUUCGGAAAUGGACGAAAGUCUGACCGAGAAACGCCGCGUGAGUGAAGAAGGUUUUCGGAUCGUAAAACUCUGUUGGUAGAGAAGAACGUUGGUGAGAGUGGAAAGCUCAUCAAGUGACGGUAACUACCCAGAAAGGGACGGCUAACUACGUG
RNAcentral lists this ribosomal RNA (497 nucleotides) under uncultured bacterium. Its description in RNAcentral is "partial 16S ribosomal RNA". It matches the Rfam family "Bacterial small subunit ribosomal RNA", at positions 28 to 507 of the family's 1533-position model. The record is from RNAcentral.